UACGUAGGGUGCGAGCGUUGUCCGGAAUUACUGGGCGUAAAGAGCUCGUAGGUGGUUUGUCGCGUUGUUCGUGAAAACUCACAGCUCAACUGUGGGCGUGCGGGCGAUACGGGCAGACUGGAGUACUGCAGGGGAGACUGGAAUUCCUGGUGUAGCGGUGAAAUGCGCAGAUAUCAGGAAGAACACCCGUGGCGAAGGCGGCUCUCUGGGACGGUACUGACGCUGAGACGCGAAAGCGUGGGGAGCGAACAGG
This 253-nucleotide ribosomal RNA is filed under the name uncultured bacterium. Its description in RNAcentral is "partial 16S ribosomal RNA". It matches the Rfam family "Bacterial small subunit ribosomal RNA", at positions 524 to 776 of the family's 1533-position model. The record is from RNAcentral.